UCUGAAUGUGAAGUACUUUCUUUUCUCUAAUUAAUCUUCUACUUCGUAUUAGCCACACUUUAACAACUAUUGUAAAACAUAGUUACCAAUACGGAACCAAGCAUUCAAGUCGAAGAACCAACUCUUUUGAUCUUUUUCACGAACAAUUUACAACACCUUCGAAAGGUGUGUUCUUGACACUUGCAAGACAUUUCUUGCAAAUACCCCUUCCAAUGUCCAUCCUUUCAUAAAGAAAGUUUGUUCCCUUGGAGUUUUUCGCCGUCUUCAUUUGACUUCUCCUUUGACUACAAUAGUCAUGGUUCCUAAACUCCCACUAUCUCUCUUGAAACUACACAUCAAACGAUUUGGAGAGUGUGCGGUUGAUGUUCACUAUAUAGUUUACAAUAAACUUAGUGAACCAUUUGGAUAGGGACACAAAGGUGAAGUCCUUGCCUAGUUUCCAUCUCUUGAAGUGGUUUAACACUUCAACACUUAAUGAUUCAAAAUCAUCAUAUGUCCAUGUUGAUGGACUAUUUUUGUCAAUCAAACAUUAUGUUCUAAACAUAAUUACAAACUUUCAAGAAUUGUUCAAGGCAACUCUCAUUUCUCAUACAAUAAUUUGUAAGUGAAGAAUCAUGGCACAUAACAUGUCCAUGCCCUUGUGCUUACUUCUCAAGUUCCUUGUUCAUUUAACAAAGAAACAAGCACUAGUGUUUGCGUUAAUUAAGGGUUGUUCAAAGCAACUCGUAUUUCUUCAUACAACGAUUUGUAAGUGAAGAAUUAUGACACUCUUUAUGGUAGACUUAUCUAACAUGUGCUUCCACUGAUACAUUAUCAAUAGGAAGAAUGUGAAAGUGAGACUACUUAGGUACAUAUACAAUCCAUUCAAGACAAUCU
RNAcentral lists this long non-coding RNA (876 nucleotides) under Malus domestica (apple). RNAcentral's name for it is "long non-coding RNA (MDOM_LNC013127)". Lineage: Eukaryota; Viridiplantae; Streptophyta; Magnoliopsida; Rosales; Rosaceae. The record is from RNAcentral.